This 333-nucleotide ribosomal RNA is filed under the name uncultured eukaryote. Its description in RNAcentral is "partial 18S ribosomal RNA". It matches the Rfam family "Eukaryotic small subunit ribosomal RNA", at positions 592 to 976 of the family's 1831-position model. The record is from RNAcentral.
CAGUAGCGUAUAUUAAAGUUGUUGCGUUUGAAAAGCUCGUAGUUGGUGGUUCGCUCGAUGAAAGUCAGCACCUGUGCAAACUUUCGUGGGGUGGUAUUUGGCGUUUCGCUGGCUUCACCGUGAGAAAACUAGGGUGAUCCAAACGGGUUCAGCUUGAAUGUUGCAGCAUGGAAUGGGUCGUUGGCUACUGGUUGGGCGUUUCGGCAGCUCUCGCAGCAGUAAUCGUUAAGAGGGACAGCUGGUGGACUUCGUAUUGAGUUGCUAGAGGUGAAAUUCUUGGAUCAACUCACGACGAACUGACGCGAAAGCCUUCGCCACAUGCGCUCCUUUUAA